RNAcentral lists this long non-coding RNA (3345 nucleotides) under Strongylocentrotus purpuratus (purple sea urchin). RNAcentral describes it as "uncharacterized LOC115928634". Lineage: Eukaryota; Metazoa; Echinodermata; Echinoidea; Camarodonta; Strongylocentrotidae. The record is from RNAcentral.
CAAGGACAUGUGCCAUUUACUAUGCAUUAUGCCAAAGCACAUUGUUAUAUAUUUAUAGUUUGGUUAGAUACAGUUUAAUAGCGAAAUGGGUUGUUCGAGUCCAGAUUAUCUUUAACUUUCAGUAUUAUGGUAUGAGUGAGUGUGGACGCACCAUGUGUAUAAUAUUAGUGUGUUAUUAGGUUAUGGCAGUGCGUUCAAUGUGAACACAACUUCUUAUCAGAGUUCUUAAUCCCCUCUCCCCCAAGCUUGACCAUCCACUGCAAUGCAUUACACGCACACAGUGUAGAUAGAGUAUAUGCUAUACCCAAAUGCUAUGUUGAGAAGUGUUAGAGAUAGAAUGUGUUUGCUUUUUGACCCAUGCUGGAAAAUGGUAUCUUAGGCAGGAAUGAAAGUUUGGUAGAGUCAGCAAAAUGAGAAGACAAAGGAUUUGAGUUGGGGAAUACACUUGUUGAGAAACACAUGGUCAAAUUGUCUAAUAGUUAGCUAGUGAUGGAUGGGUUGAUGAAAUAUUGUAGUUGAAGACUUGCAUAAUCACUGUCGGGAAUUCAUUGUAUUAUAUUGUUAGGAAUGAUAAUUCAGGUUAAAUGUGAUUGGGAAUUACUCUCUCUCUCUCUCUCUCUCUCUCUCUCUAUAUAUAUAUAUAUAUUAUCUCUCUCUCUCUCUCUCCCCCCCUCUCUCUUUAUAUCCUCUCCCUCUCUUUCUCUCUUUCUCUCUCUCUCUCUCUCUCUCUGUAAGGUUCACCCUUCCUCUUUCACUCUCACUUUGCUUUGUAUAUAACCAUGAAAUGAAUAUACAUGUAUUUAGUAAAACUAUUGGUUGUUGAUAUAGAUUAGAAUAUGAACUAUGUAUGUGUAGAUGAGAUUACAGUUAGAGGAAAUCGUAAUGGGUUGUAAGUUUGCUAAAGCUAUAUAAUUAGUGCAGACUGCAGACUAAGACUAUUUGCCAGUUUUGUGAAUAUUGUAAGGAGUUUAGGAUAUAAGUUGUUGAAGAUGUAUCUUUUCAAGCUCAGUAGUCUCGCUGAAAAAGAUAGUAUUAGAUCAAAGUGAUGCAGAUGACUAUUGGAAAAUACAUGAGCUAUAGUUAAGGAAGAGUUAUAAGUUUAUUCAGUAUUAAUGUGAAGUCCUGAGACAAGAAGUAACUUGUGAAUUUAGGGAUUAGUGAAGGCUGAGAGUAGAAUUACAUUCUAAGGGUCCAUGUGCACAAGGGAUCCUCAGUCUUGGAGCGUAAAGAGUAGAAAGCUUAUUAGGCAAUAGUAUAGGGAUGAUUAUGCCAACAUUCUUGUAUUAGGUCUAUAUAUGUGAUUUCUUGAAAGAGACGCUAAGUGAAGAGUUAUAUGAUUAGAAGCUAAAGUAGAUUGACUGAUACCGCAAUGUUAUAGACAUUUGAUAAGGGUUAAGUUAUUUAUUAGUAGCCAAGUUAUGAUUAUGAGAUCGAUGAAGAGUUGCACUUUUACAUAAAGCAUGGAAGUAAGGAUAGUUUCGUUUAGAGAUAGUAAAGUAAUGAAACUAACCAGAUGAUGUUCUUAGUGAUAUAGUAAGAGAACACGGAGAGCUAAUGAAUUCAAUGUAUGCGAACAGGUAGAUUUAUUUGUGUUUAAUACUUGAAGAGUAUUGUUAAUGUUAUGCCAUUUGAUCGUAUAUAUGUUAUUGUAAGAAAAGACUGUUAUUGUAGAAGAUUAAGUAAUAAAGACUUUGUUUUGCCAUGCAUCCUAGUCAACACUUUUCUUAUUUUGUCUUCCUUUAAUAGGUAUGCCCCCCUCCCUCGGGGUGUGGGCGCUACAAAUUUGGCGACCUUGCCAGGACGGCCAUCGUCGAAGAGACACGAGGACGAUGUGCUGUCCUAUGACACGAACAGUUGGAUCAAUCGACAGAGAAGAGCAGCGAGCAAACGAUACAGGACCAGAAGACAGAGUGACGGAGAGAACCUGAUUUGACAAUGACAUUGGCUCAGCAUCAGAGAGAAUGGGACAAGCUGCAGAGAGGAGAAAAGGCUACUACGAGCGUGCAGUAUGCAGCAGGGUGCUACAGCAAGGAGAUAUGGUUCUGGUGCGAAGUCUGGCCCCUCCAGAUGGCGGAGCAGUGAGUGGAGUCAAGGAUGUCCAGGGGUUCUCCAAGCCGCCACCCUCAACAGCCCAGCCACGGCCUGCACCGUUCCAGUACCGGUAUGACCCACCAUUCUACCUCCCCAUCAAAGGCCAUUACAGAUGCAGACGCAGUAGCCCACCAGCAACCAACCCACUACCAACGUCAUAUGACAGAAGAACAGCUUCAAUUUUCCUAGCGAGCGAGUCAAUCAUUGAGGAAUGCCUCAAACAGAUUCUUUUUUUUUACAGUAGAUGCAUCGAUGUAUAGAAUCAUGUGUGUUGUUUAGUAAACCUGAUAUAGGAGUGACGCGAAGAAUUAGGAUGAAGCAAGUUGUUAAUCAUUUCAGGAAUGGUGGUGUAAUAUAAAGAAGCAAGCGAAUAAAGAAACAAGCGAUGACACGCGAUUGUGAUCUGUUGAUCUAAGUGAUAAAGUCUUUGGAAUGACUCGAGACGUUCCCAAGAAACCCUCACCGUAUGUCAGAUACGUCCAUGGAAUGGAUUUUGCUUGUGAUGUUUAUGUUUCGCAAAGUUGAUUUGUAUGGAAAGGAAAAGCCACAUAGUUAUGAUAUGAUUUUAUGAUAGGUAAUGCUGAGACUUCGAGAGCCUAUUAGGUCGCUAAACCGAUUCGCAACACGUGGAUGAACUCGAUGUGCAACAUGUAUUUCACAGAGGAAUUGGAGCACGAUGAUUUGUGAGCGUAGCAUUGACAUGGACUAUAAACAAUCAUGGACUUAGUUGAUACAUUACAUCUGUACUUCAUGGCGACAUUGAACGAGAACUAUAUGAACGUUAAAAAUGUUAUACUAUAAUCAUGAAUUAUUGAUGUAAAUGUUUGGAAGUUGAAAUGUCCAGGAGACAUUUAUUUUUGGAGGGGAAGGUGUGGAGCCCCACAGAAUACCCCCCCCCCCCUAUUUUUUGUAUAUCUUUGACUAUGUAUGUAUGACACAAGUAUAUUUCUAGCCCCCAUAUAGUCCCUCCUCUUAGUUAAUUAGGUACCCCCUCCUGCGAGAGUGGCCUCACCCACAACUAACCUAAACACACCAGCUGGGAUACCAGGAGUGGCUUCUCACUUUGUUUUUGCCACGCAUCUCAGUCAACACCUUUCUUAUUUUGUCUUCCUUUAAUAGGUAAGAAAGAAUCUUAUAUUAUUCAAUUGUGUUAUAUUCUUGUUGUUCAUAAUAUGUGUAUUUCUAAACUAUUAGCUUCACUAUUCACAUAUCUUGUAUUACUGUGUAAAAAGAGAUAUUAAUGAUCUUUGCCAA